This 253-nucleotide ribosomal RNA is filed under the name uncultured bacterium. RNAcentral's name for it is "partial 16S ribosomal RNA". It matches the Rfam family "Bacterial small subunit ribosomal RNA", at positions 524 to 776 of the family's 1533-position model. The record is from RNAcentral.
UACAGAGGUCCCGAGCGUUGUUCGGAUUCACUGGGCGUAAAGGGUGCGUAGGUGGCUUGAAAAGUUUGAUGUGAAAGCUCAGGGCUUAACCCUGAAAUGGCAUUGAAUACUGUCGGGCUGGAGGUUUGGAGGGGGGACUGGAAUUCUUGGUGUAGCAGUGAAAUGCGUAGAUAUCAAGAGGAACACCAGUGGCGAAGGCGAGUCCCUGGACAACACCUGACACUGAGGCACGAAAGCUAGGGGAGCAAACGGG